CUGGUUGUUGUAUUAGAUGCAUGUUGGUUGGUUGGUUGGAUGAAUGUUUGACUCAUUGGUUACGUUUACAUUCGGCAGACGCCCUUAUCCAGAGCGACUUACAUUUAUCUCAUUUAUACAACUGAGCAUUUGACGGUUAAGGGCCUUGCUCAAGGGUGCAGCGGUGGAAGCUUGGCAGUGCUGCAGAUCUACCGAUUGGUCGACUCACCUACUGACUGAAGAACAGCCACCAGACUGCCUGCUGCCACUCCUCCUCCAUUAGCGAUAGCAGCUGAUGACAUCAUACCGGCAGCGAAGGACCCUGCUGUAAUGCCACCCGCGGUGAAGCCCACCAACCCUAGGG
Molecule: long non-coding RNA, 343 nt
Organism: Ictalurus punctatus (channel catfish)
Lineage: Eukaryota; Metazoa; Chordata; Actinopteri; Siluriformes; Ictaluridae
Exons: 2
Source: RefSeq, a predicted model, not a curated record